UAUGAUCUGAGCUAUUUAGGGUGUUACCUCAUAACACCCCUAAAAUUCAUAUAUUGAAGUCCUAAACCCCAGGGCCUCAGAAUGUGACUGUAUUUGGAGAUAGCAUAUUUAAAGAGGUAAUUAAGUUAGAAUGAGGUUAUUAGGGUAGGCCCUAAUCUGACUGAUGUCCUUCUAAGAAGAGGAAAUUAGGACACAGAGACAGACACGUGGAAGAAAUGUCAUGUGAAGACAGUGAGAAGACAGCUGUCUAUAAACCAAGAAGAGAGGCUUCAGAAGAAACCCGCCCUGUGAACACUUUAAUCUCAGACUCCUAUUCUUCAGAACUUUGGUUUUUGAGUCUCCAGCUUCACCUCUCAACUCCUGCCACUUUAUGGAACACCCUCAGUGCCCAGGGGUCUCUUGUCCUUGGUCCUGGUUCUCCCUGGGCUGCCUUGAGACUUUGCAGUGUGCCAAUAAGAGGAUGUAUAUGAGACCCUUACUCAUGUAUUUUUCUCUUGUGAAGCUGAUCACACUGGACUUUUAAGUCCUUUCUUCCUGACAUUCAGUCUUUGACUCUGAAUUAGCUGAGGCAUGAGAAGUUCACCACAGGAAGGUCCUGCCCUUUGUUUGCUCCUAAAGGUUCCUUUAAAGUUCAACUUGACCAACACACCAUUGCAAGCACUCCAGAGGAGAAGACAGCCUUGCUGUGUCAAAUCCACUUUAGUUUGUAAAUUUCUUGUCAGUCACUUUUAUGCCCCCACUGAAUAGGACAGUGUGAAGCAUGGAUUAAGUAUGCAAUAAAUGGUUGUUGAAUAAAUCAGAAAAUUAAAUGCAUUCUGCACAGAA
Molecule: long non-coding RNA, 825 nt
Filed under: Homo sapiens (human)
Lineage: Eukaryota; Metazoa; Chordata; Mammalia; Primates; Hominidae
Description: lncAB486.1
Source: RNAcentral